GUGCCAGCCGCCGCGGUAAUACAGAGGUCCCAAGCGUUGUUCGGAUUUACUGGGCGUAAAGGGUGCGUAGGUGGUGGGGUAAGUCUGAUGUGAAAUCUCCGAGCUUAACUCGGAAAUGGCAUUGGAAACUACUUCGCUCGAGGGUUAGAGGGGGGACUGGAAUUCUCGGUGUAGCAGUGAAAUGCGUAGAUAUCGAGAGGAACACCGGUGGCGAAGGCGAGUCCCUGGACAACUCCUGACACUGAGGCACGAAAGCUAGGGGAGCAAACAGGAUUAGAAACCCUGGUAGUCC
Molecule: ribosomal RNA, 292 nt
Filed under: uncultured bacterium
Lineage: Bacteria
Description: partial 16S ribosomal RNA
Rfam family: Bacterial small subunit ribosomal RNA
Source: RNAcentral